Podarcis lilfordi (Lilford's wall lizard) is the source of this 76-nucleotide non-coding RNA. The record is from the annotation of a GenBank genome assembly. NCBI's taxonomy places the organism in Eukaryota, Metazoa, Chordata, Lepidosauria, Squamata, Lacertidae.
GGAAAGGCUCAGAGGUAGAGCAUCUGCUUGCAGAUUUGCUUGCAGAAAAUCCCAGGUUCAAUCCCCGACAUCUCCA